CAGCGCCCGGCGGCCGCAUGGGCACGGCGAGGCGUGCGGCGCCUCCCUGCAGCGGCUGCUUCGGGACCAGUGGGCAACGCCCGCGAGGGGCGGCGUCCGUCCGUCCGUCCAUCCAUCCAUCCGUCCGUCCAUCCCUGCGUGGGUGGCGGCUCGUGUGCGUGUGUGUGACUGACACUGCGGCGCGCACAGCGCGGGAGCAGCAGCGCUCCCGCCCGCAGCGAACGGGGCUGGAGGGUGGGGGGGACGCCGGCGCGCCCCGGCUGCGGCAGCCCCGUCUCCGUCCCCCGGAGCCCUCCCCGAUGGGGGCGACCUCAGCGGCCUCGCUGCUCCUCCUCCUCCCUCCUGGCGGCUGGCAUCAGCCAAAAUGAACAAUGGCCUUUCAAAAAUACUCUGGAAAGGAGCAGGACACCCCAGAAAAGGCUGCAGCGGUAAUAUCUACUAUGCAUCAAAGAAUUCAGGCACAGAGGACAUCUUGAAGCACAGGUGCAUAGCAAUCAGGUUUCUUUGUUACAACUACUUAUUUGCUCUGCUUGAUUUUAUGCGAGAUUUUUUUUCUGUUUAAAAUUUAUAUUAAAUAAGAAGAGAGACUCAGCAGCGUAACAGCCUAUCUUAUAAUUCCUUCUUUCUCUAAGAUAUUAUUGUUAAAAUAUGUCUAUCAUCAGUUUCCACUGGAAGUUCUUUAGCUUCAGAAGGAGGGAGUAAUUUAUCACAUGCUUGUAAAGCAGCCAGCUUGCCUUUCCUGGGCAGAUCCUGGCACAACAGUUGUUUAAGGAGCAGUAAGUAGUUCACUGAGUAACACAGAAAAUGCUUUCAUUUCUGAAACAAACAAUUUGGAGCCAUUUUUGUGGCGACAUAUAAGCUCAGAAUAAUUGAGUUACUUGCCUAUGUCCCGGGUCAUUUUUGGGAAUAAACAUCCACAGUGACUGCCAGUGCAGUUCAUGAAACUCACAGCUGCAUUAAUGCAGGUAGCAGUGUCAGUCAUCUCUUGAGCAAGUGUAUGAUGGAAACUGUGCCCAGAAUACCCAUGAUCACAGGGUCUAUUCUGGCAUCAGGUCAUACUACAGGCUUUGAGAGACAAAAAAAAAAACAAAACAAAAAAACACUUGAGAGAGGCCCGCUACACGAAGCAGUAACUCCUGGGUAUACAAGCAAGGAUAUAAGUCCUGGGUAUACAAAGACUUUGGUACAAAUGCCAUGCUCAAACUCAUGGUCCCUUCCAGGCAGGCCCACAACUACAAGACCUCAGGUGUUUAAAUUAGGAUCUUCUGGGCUGCUAUUGCUGAAAUACAAAUUUUAAACUUGGCACUGUGUUAGUGGUAAGCUGUCUUCUGUAUUGAAACACCUUGUGUGCCCUGAAGAAAAUUGUAGGCCAUAGAGGACCUCAUAUAGUAUGUGUAAAAUGCAGAAAAACAUGGAUACAUUAUCUUUUUCAAUGAAGUAUCCACUUCACAUACAGCUUUGCAGGAUGUCAAAAAAGUGGUUUUCAAAUGGAACUGGAAAUGCAUGAAAAUGAAUGGUGAUGUUUUUUCACUUUAUAGUUCUAUUUCCUCUAGUUUGUCUUAAUUUUUAUGAAUACAUAGCUGUAUAAAUGUAAGUAUAGGUUUUCUUUAUGCAUAAAUGUAUGCAAUAUAUGUUUUGGACAAUAAAUUUUACACAGUGAUAUGUUUAAAUCACAGAUUAUAUUUGCUGUACUAGUGCACUAGUACACAUUAUGUAGUAUGAUAUAUAACACAGUGAAAAUGGAUGUAUUCUAUGUAUAUAUAAUGAGUAUUUACACAUUGACAUGUCUAUAUAGAAAUAGUAGAAAACAUUAGAAUAUUUACUGUUACAGAAUACUACCCAUAUUCCAUAUAUAUGUAUGUGCCCCAAGCAGUUUGCAUGCCUCUUUUUGGAGCAGCCUCUCUAGGAAAGGUCCGUGCAUCUUAAUUGACCUAUUGUUGCUGUACGCUUGAUCACAUUUCUGUAGUCUGAGGCAGAGACUGAACACAAGUUAACUGCAAUUAAAGCAGUGUGUGAUUCUGGCCCACAGCCUGCACAAGUUUGGAUACAGCUCAGUGUCCUGCUUAAUGUGACAAAAAGCUGCAGUUUGCCCUUAGACUAAAGGUUGAAGUAUGAUUUUAUUUUUUAUGCAGCUCCUGUUUUCACUGGCACCAAGUUUUUAAAGCAAGUGCUCCCCUCUGAGUGCUACAGGAGGGCUCUGAAGUGAGUAAGGUCCCUGAUGUAGAUAAAAAAAAGCUCUGUCACUGUCCUACACCCUUCCAGCCUCUGAGAACCUUCUGUGUAGGCAGCCCAUUAUUCAAAGUAAGAAUGUUCACAACCACACUCUAAGGGUAAGAAUUAAAAAUGUAUUAGUGAUAGUGAUUAAUAAUUCAAGUGUGAAUUUCAAGAAGCUAGCAAAGGUUCCAAGCACUGUAUACACGUGUGUUUGUCUAUGUGUGGAGGGUGAUGUUGUCUGUGUAUGUUUCAGUGAUCUAUUUGAAAAAAUAAAGUAAAAUUACCUACGUAUUGUGUAUGUGAAAAGAAGUUACAUAUUUGGUUAUUCAUUCCACAUCCAUUUGACAGUGAGAUAGACUUUGGGAGACUGCAUCUUAUGUACUCUCCCCUCUGAAUUCAUAACAACUUGAGAUCCUUUUAGUGAUUUUAUUGGAAUUUGUUUUUAAGAAAUAUUUUUCUCUGGAGAAAGAAAAAAAUUAAUGCUGCUGAUAUUGAAUACUUGAUAUUAUCUAUGUGAAUCUAUCAAAUAAUCAUUUGGGUAAGUCUUCUACUGGAUUAGCCUAUUUACCCCCAUUACCACUUGUCCUGCAGUUUCAUUUGAAUGCAAAAUUUUAGUUUCCUCUGCUAUCUCACCAGUUAUGUCUUCUAAUCACAGUCCAGACCUAAAGGGUCUUAGUGUCACCGUUCUUGGUGUCACUAGUGUUUGUAUGAUUACAUGAUGAUUACAUGCUUUUUCUAACUGAUUUUUGUUCCAUGCACACACUGUUCAAACUGCUUUCAUGCAUGGGCAAGCUGGCAUGGCUCUUGUGCUCAUUUCCAGCAAAUACUCAGCGUAGUCAUUAAAACCAUAUUGGUAAUUCACCUCAGCCACCUUCUGUAAGCUUUAUAUCAACCACUAGUCAUUGUCAGCCUGCGUCCCAUUGCAUCCUCACUCAUGAACACAGAAAGCCCAUCCACUAACAUAAAAUUUUAAUCCUAGUUUUGCUAUGUGAAUCCUAGUUUUGCUAUGCUACUGUGAAACAGAUAGAUGCACUUCAUUUUGUGUAUGUGUGAAAAAUUCGACUAGAAUUAGAUAUUGCAGAAUUCUAAUGAUAAAAUAUAGCCAAAGUACAUCUUUCUGCUGAGAUCAGUUUUCUUUAUAAGCAUCAAACACAUCUAUUCAAUGCCCAAUAAAAUUCUUUUCUUUUACAGCUCCUGGGGAUAGAGAACACAGCACAUUGUAACAACAGCAAUAGACUCAGCCGUGAGAGAUCUUUAUCAGGCAUCACAAAGAAUUUGAGGCAGCUGGCAGUUAUCAGCUGAAACAGGUAGUCACUAGAAGUAUAGAAGAUAAAUAGAUAAUAGAAAAGCAAUCUGGAAACCUGGGAGAGAUAAUAAACCACUCUUCUAGAGGGGAGGUAACAACUUAGGUAGGUCACUGAUGAACUCAACUCCCAGAUCACUACUGUGUGUAAUACUGCUGAAAAUACAGCUGCAGUUUACUGCUCGUGCUUGUCAGGUCUCUUGUAGUGUUCAAAAUGUUGUUGGAAACACAGUUUGACAUAUUCAGUUACAUAAAUCACUAUCACAGGGAAGUGAAGAAGGCUCCUGCAGCUGAAAAAAGCUGACCGCAAUCCUAGGGGCACCAUGACCCUCUGUUAAAUUACAGUUGCUAGACUAGGAAGCUACUUAUUCUACUUGCUGUUGUCUAUACUGCCAGUGCAAUCAUUACAUAAUGUUCCUGUUAUGUCUAUCAUAGUCUUCUGUGGAGCAUAUGAUUUCUUUUUUUUUGUAAUUUCUUGUCAUCUAGAAAUACUUUUUCUACCAUUAUGCUUAUCCUAAUACAAGCACAGAGAAGAGAGAGAAAGAAAGGAGUCAUACAGACACCAAGGUUGGAAAACACUUCAAAGAUCACCCAGUCCAACCAUCCACCUAUCACCAAUAUUUACCCAAUAACCACGUCUCUCAGUACAACGUUUAAAUGGUUCUUGAACAUCUCCAGGGGCAGUAACUUCACCAGCUCCCUGGACAGUUCUUUCCAGUGCCUGACCACUCUUUCAGAGAAGACAUUUUUAUUAAUAUCCAAUCUGACACAACUUGAGGCCAUCCUAUCUAGUCCUAUCACUAGUGGGACCUCAUCACAACCUCCUUUCAGGUAGCUGUAGAGAGUGAUAAGGUCACUCCUGAGCCUCCUCUUCUCCAGACUGAACAAUUCCAGAUCCUUCAGCUGCUUCUGAUAAAACUUAUGCUCCAGAUCUUUCACAGCUUUGUUGUCCUUCUCUGGGCAUACUCCAGAGCCUCAAUGUCUUUCUUGUAGUGGGAGGUCCAAAACUGAAAACAGCACUCAAAGUGUAGCCUCAUCAGUGCUGAGUACAGAGGAAAUAUGAUACUUUUAGUAGACAUUUAUUAAAACAGACAAAACAUCUUUCACUGUAAAGCACUCUUACAAUUCCCAAGUUCUUACUUGUUAAGAAGUGAAAUCUUGCAUGAACACACAAGGAAAAUGAUACCAUUUGAUAACUCUUCUUACUGUUUUCUGUGAUUCUGUAGAACAACAGAGGGAGAUAACAUCAGGAUAUAUUGAUUUGCCAAAGAAGCCACAGAAUAGAAAUUCUGUGUAAUAGAAUAUAGAAUAGAAAGAAUGUAGAAUAGAAAGGACAUCUUUCUACCAAAUAAAUACUGAAGUUAUUCAACUGGCAUAUUUCUUGAUGAUUUCUUGACAUCUUUCAUGUGAUUCUAUGAUUCUAUGAUUUCUUGAGUUAGUUAACUCUUUCAUGUGGACUGCAUAAGGUAGCUGAUGUCAAUGGAUCAGAACCAGAAAAAAAAAAAGGGCAGGAGGAGAGGGAGGAGGGAAAGAAAGAAGAUUUGCUCAGUUUGCUUAAAAAGAUGCUUAAAUAAAACUUGUUUGUACCACAGAAACUAGAAAUCAUUCCAUACAUUUACAAUGAAAGACCAAAAAACAAGUCAAAUUCAUCAAAUGUUUCCAGAGUGCUAGCUACCAAUAUUAAAACUAUGCAGCUAUCCGAGGUGGAGCCAUCUCUGUAGGAGAUAUAAAUAGAGGAAAGUCUUAGAGUCUCCUGUUCAUAUUCCCUAAUUGUGCAUAAAAAGGGUCAUCCCUCAUUAGCCUGUGGUGGUCAAAAGUGAAUUCAGUGCUCUGAAGAUGAAGAGAUGAAGAUGCCUGUUCUGCAUAGGUACAUGAACUAACUGUUCAAACAAACACCAUGGUGUAGUGUACCCAGAGACACUUGCUGUCCUGCCAGUGGAAAAUGAAAGGCAUCCCACUUAGAUAUUCUUUAUUUCCUCUUUGAGGCAUUUAACCCACUGACUGUGUGAUGGCUGGGAUAUCUAAAGGAAGAAGUCUGAAUCAUCCUGUCAGGUAGAUGUUUUAACACUGGCCGCUACCACAGUCUGAAUAUUACCCUAAAUAAUAUCAAUAGGUUGGUCUGUAGAAAUAUAACACUUUUCUCAAGCUAACAUGAAAAAUCAGAACCUAUUGACUGUGCAAUUAAUUUUCCAUACUUUCCUUCAUUGCGUUGAAAGCAUUGGACUAUAUGUUCAAAAACAUGCGUGAAGAGCUUUUAGUUAUUGUCUUUAUGUCUUGGUAAAAUUAAGCUUUAUUUUGCAGCUCUCCUCUGGGAGAGCUGCAUUUUACCAGAGUGUGUAAAACCUAACAGUAAAUAUUAUGUUUUGAUGAGUGUUUUUGCGUGGUUCAGAAAUAAAACUCCUCAACAUAUCUUGUAUUUUAUUCUUUACCGAUUACAUCAAAAAUGUAGUUGUGCAAUUUAUUGUCUCCAGGUAGUUUCUGUCAUUCCUGUGUAGAGCUACAGUAGACAAUCCUGUAUAAGAACUUAUAAUUUAUAGAAAUUUAUUUUUCCAAUGGGUCAUGAGACUGAGAUAUUUUCUGUUAUCUUGGGAUUGCAUUGCUAUGUCACAAAAUCAGUAAUAAAUUAUUUUUU
Molecule: long non-coding RNA, 6149 nt
Organism: Lagopus muta (rock ptarmigan)
Lineage: Eukaryota; Metazoa; Chordata; Aves; Galliformes; Phasianidae
Exons: 3
Source: RefSeq, a predicted model, not a curated record